UACUGAGUUUACAGAGUGCUUUGAGGUC
This 28-nucleotide non-coding RNA is filed under the name Rattus norvegicus (Norway rat). Lineage: Eukaryota; Metazoa; Chordata; Mammalia; Rodentia; Muridae. The record is from RNAcentral.